This is a small nuclear RNA of Pteronotus mesoamericanus, 105 nucleotides long. Lineage: Eukaryota; Metazoa; Chordata; Mammalia; Chiroptera; Mormoopidae. The record is from RefSeq and is a predicted model, not a curated record.
GUGCUUGCUUUGGCAGCACAUAUAAUAAAAUUGCAAUGACAGAGAAGAUUAGCAUGGCCCCUGCACCGAGAUGACACACAAAUUUGUGAAGCAUUCCAUAUUUUU